UGACCUCAAAUCAGGUAGGACUACCCGCUGAACUUAAGCAUAUCAAUAAGCGGAGGAAAAGAAACUAACAAGGAUUCCCCUAGUAACUGCGAGUGAAGCGGGAAAAGCUCAAAUUUAAAAUCUGGCAGUCUUUGGCUGUCCGAGUUGUAAUCUAGAGAAGUGCUAUCCGCGCUGGACCGUGUACAAGUCUCCUGGAAUGGAGCCUCAUAGAGGGUGAGAAUCCCGUCUUUGACAUGGACUACCAGGGCUUUUGUGAUGUGCUCUCAAAGAGUCGAGUUGUUUGGGAAUGCAGCUCAAAAUGGGUGGUAAAUUCCAUCUAAAGCUAAAUAUUGGCGAGAGACCGAUAGCGAACAAGUACCGUGAGGGAAAGAUGAAAAGAACUUUGGAAAGAGAGUUAAACAGUACGUGAAAUUGCUGAAAGGGAAACGCUUGAAGUCAGUCGCGUUGUCCAGGGAUCAACCUUGCUUUUGCUUGGUGCACUUUCUGGUUGACGGGUCAGCAUCAAUUUUGACUGUUGGAAAAAGAUCAAGGGAAUGUGGCAUCUUUGGAUGUGUUAUAGCCCUUGGUUGUAUACAAUGGUUGGGAUUGAGGAACUCAGCACGCCGCAAGGCCGGGUUUUUAACCACGUACGUGCUUAGGAUGC
RNAcentral lists this ribosomal RNA (643 nucleotides) under Cortinarius parkeri. Its description in RNAcentral is "eukaryotic LSU rRNA". It matches the Rfam family "Eukaryotic large subunit ribosomal RNA", at positions 1 to 626 of the family's 3401-position model. The record is from RNAcentral. Lineage: Eukaryota; Fungi; Basidiomycota; Agaricomycetes; Agaricales; Cortinariaceae.